Molecule: small nuclear RNA, 99 nt
Organism: Cavia aperea (Brazilian guinea pig)
Lineage: Eukaryota; Metazoa; Chordata; Mammalia; Rodentia; Caviidae
Source: Ensembl
GCUCACUUUGGUAGCAUGUACUAAAACACAAAACAGAAAAGAUUACUAUGAUUCCCGCACAAAGAUGACCCACAAAUCUGUGAAGAGUUCUGCAUUUUA